GUAGUGCAUAGCCGAGUUGAGAGACUGAUCGGCCACAUUGGGACUGAGACACGGCCCAAACUCCUACGGGAGGCAGCAGUAGGGAAUCUUCCACAAUGGACGCAAGUCUGAUGGAGCAACGCCGCGUGAGUGAAGAAGGGUUUCGGCUCGUAAAGCUCUGUUGUUGGUGAAGAAGGACAGGGGGUAGUAACUGACCUUUGUUUGACGGUAAUCAAUUAGAAAGUCACGGCUAACUACGUGCCAGCAGCCGCGGUAAAU
This 258-nucleotide ribosomal RNA is filed under the name uncultured Lactobacillus sp. RNAcentral's name for it is "partial 16S ribosomal RNA". It matches the Rfam family "Bacterial small subunit ribosomal RNA", at positions 276 to 525 of the family's 1533-position model. The record is from RNAcentral. Lineage: Bacteria; Bacillati; Bacillota; Bacilli; Lactobacillales; Lactobacillaceae.